GAUGAAGAACGUAGCGAAAUGCGAUAAGUAGUGUGAAUUGCAGAAUUCAGUGAAUCAUCGAAUCUUUGAACGCACAUUGCGCCCUUUGGGAUUCCUUAGGGCAUGCCUGUUCGAGCGUCAUUUAAACCUUCAAGCUAAGCUUGGUGUUGGGUGACUGUCCGCUUCACGGCGGACUCGCCUCAAAAUUAUUGGCGGCCGGUACAUUGGCUUCGAGCGCAGCAGAAACGCGAACUCGGGCCCGUCGUAUUGGCUCCCAGAAGCUAUCUUCACAAUUUUGACCUCGGAUCAGGUAGGGAUACCCGCUGAACUUAAGCAUAUCAAUAAGCGGAGGA
This 332-nucleotide unclassified non-coding RNA is filed under the name soil metagenome. RNAcentral describes it as "partial contains 5.8S ribosomal RNA, internal transcribed spacer 2, and large subunit ribosomal RNA". The stretch from base 1 to 120 matches the Rfam family "5.8S ribosomal RNA", at positions 35 to 154 of the family's 154-position model. The record is from RNAcentral.